This 700-nucleotide ribosomal RNA is filed under the name Callyspongia sp. RNAcentral describes it as "partial large subunit ribosomal RNA". It matches the Rfam family "Eukaryotic large subunit ribosomal RNA", at positions 101 to 629 of the family's 3401-position model. Lineage: Eukaryota; Metazoa; Porifera; Demospongiae; Haplosclerida; Callyspongiidae. The record is from RNAcentral.
GAAGAAGCCCAGGUCUGAAAUCUCCCGGUCGGCAAUUGUUACGACCGGGCGAAUUGUGGUCUGGAGAGGCGGACUGUCCCGAUCCACUGCUUUUGAGCCCGAAGUUGACUUGGAACGGCACGCCCAAUAGGGUGAGAGCCCCGUAGGGCCCGGUACAUCGCGAAGCAGCGGGACGAGGGUCCGUACUCGUAGAGUCGGGUUGUUUGGGAAUGCAGCCCCAAGUGGGUGGUAGACUCCAUCCGAGGCUAAAUACGGGCGCGAGACCGAUAGCUGACAAGUACCGUGAGGGAAAGGUGAAAAGCACUUUGAAGAGAGAGUUCAAUAGACCGUGAAACCGUUGGGAGGGAAGCUCAGGGUGUCGAGGUUGUCGUGCUCCGCUGAUGUUCAGCCGGCGGCGGUCGGGGUUACCUGCCGCUGUCGGUGCAUUCUUCACGGAGUUGGACCGUCAGUUGGGAAGAGGUCGGGUCCUGUUCUGUCGGCAGUCGGGAGGUAAGCCUUGCGGUUCCUCCGUGUUCCCAGGGUGACGUAUAGCCGUUCUGCCGUGGUCCCGACCGUCUUUCAGGUGCGUCGGACGUCCGUUCGUCCGGAAUGGGAAGGUGCAGUCUCCCCUCGGUUGGGAGUUCGGGCUGGUGGUGGAGUUGCUUCGCUGUGACGAGUCAUGCUCCGUGCCUUCUCCGUUCCGCUUCGGCGUGCGGGGAGG